UUCCGCUCCCAUUCAAUGGCAUUGCUGCUACUGAGAGCUCUUUCUGUUUCCGUUGCACCACCACCACCACCACCACCACCUCUCCCUUUCUUUCACUGCCUCUAUCAUCAUCACCACCCCCAUCUUUUUAACAAACACUCCCUAAAAAAACACAAAUACCAACAGCGACAGCAACAUCAAGAAACCCUCCAAACCUUUUUCUUUUCUUCCAUACAUAUAUAAACAUGUGUGAUUUUCCUUAAUUAUAUCAUAUCAUUGUUAUUAUUCCCCUUGUUUGUAAUACAAGCUUCUCAACAUGAGAAAACAUGGCCUUCUCUUCCUCUGCUUUCUCUUUACAGGCUUGCACGAAUCUUACUGCAAUGUAUUGCAUGCUGCUGAUUUUAGGAGUCAUAGCCCACCACUACCACGGCAUCUUUUGUUGUAUCAGCAAGGUUCCGCCCUAAUGGAGGAAAAGGCAACUGUUCUUUUGCCCGAUACUUCUCCCAAUGUGUCACCUCAACCCUUUAUUCCUCUUCUAGCACCUUCACCACUUGCAUCUUUUAAGAAUAAUACUAUACCAAGGUUAUCAGGACUUUGUACAUUAAAUUUUUCUGCUGUUGAAACUAUGAUGAGCACGACAGCAGUUGACUGCUGGGCUUUCUUUGCUCCUUUUCUGGCCAAUGUAAUUUGCUGCCCGCAGUUGCAUGCCACUCUUGUGAUUCUCAUUGGGCAAUCCAGUAAAGAUACUGGGACCCUUGCUUUGGACGUGGAUCAGGCCAAACACUGCCUGGCGGAUGUGCAGAAGAUUCUGGCAGGCCAGGGAGCAAAUGAACGUCUUCAGAGGAUUUGCUCAAUUCAUCCAUCGAACCUCACAGAAGGCUCUUGUCCUGUCAAAGAUGUUAAUGAGUUUGAGAGUGUUGUGGAUUCAUCUAAGCUUUUGGCUGCCUGCGAGAAAGUCGAUCCUGUGAAUGAGUGUUGUAGCCAAAUUUGCCAGAAUGCUAUAUUUGAAGCUGCAAGAGAAAUCGCUUUGAAAGAUGGUGGUCUCUCAGGCAUGAGUGGUAUCCGUGUAUUGCCUGGGUACUCAUCUAGACUUGAUGAUUGUAAAAGCAUUGUCCUGAGAUGGCUUGCAAGUAGACUCGAUUCACUUUCUGCGAAGCAAUUCCUUAGGCGGAUUUCUAAUUGCAACUUGAAUAAAGCUUGUCCACUGGUUUUCCCUGACACUAAAAAUGUUUCGAAAUACUGUCGGAAUGGGAUCCGUAACAAGACAAUUUGCUGCUAUGCUAUGGAGAAUUACAUAUCUCACCUACAAAAGCAGAGUUUCAUAACCAAUUUGCAAGCUUUGGAUUGUGCUGCAUCGCUUGGUUUGCAGUUGCAGGCAGUGAAUAUUACCAAAAAUGUUUAUGGCCUAUGUCAUAUAAGCCUCAAGGAUUUUUCUCUCCAAGUUGGAUCGCAAGAAUCUGGAUGCCUCCUGCCAAGCUUGCCUUCAGAUGCAACAUUUGACCAAUCUUCAGGAAUCAGCUUCACUUGUGACCUGAACGACAACAUAGCAGCUCCUUGGCCAUCUGCAUCUCAACAAGUCACUGUAUCUUCCUGCAAUAAGAGCAUCCCUUGCAUUCACUUCAUGGUAGUAUCUUAGCAUGGUUAAUAGUGCAGCGAUUAAAUUGCCUGCACUUCCAGCUGCAACACCUUCACCGAGUGGACAAAACUUAAAAGAUAUGAUAUUGCCUAUGCUUUUUGCCUCCUGGAUGGUCGCUACCAUGCUGAUGUAAUCUAGAUUCGCUCCGUGCUUGGUCCUGUAAUUACAAGGGGAUUCUAUCCCUCCCACGAUCCAAAUCAGCGGUUUUGAAACACGGUAUGUACUUCAUCACAGCAAUCCACGAUCCAAAUCGGCCGUUUUGAAACAUGGCAUGGCAUGUACUUCAUCACAGCAAUCCACGAUCCAAAUCAGCUGUUUUGAAAAAUGGUAUGUACUUCAUCACAGAAAUCCACGAUCCAAAUCGGCCGUUUUGAAACACGGUAUGUCAUCACAGCAAUCAUUCCAUAGUUCAUGCUAGUUAUGUAAUAAUUAUUGUUUUUUGUAAAGAAAUUCUUCCCCGAAUGAGGAAGGGCAUGUGUAAGUAGAACUAAGGCUUUUCCUCAAA
RNA transcript from Magnolia sinica, 2120 nucleotides. RefSeq lists it as uncharacterized. The record is from RefSeq and is a predicted model, not a curated record. The transcript has 9 exons. NCBI's taxonomy places the organism in Eukaryota, Viridiplantae, Streptophyta, Magnoliopsida, Magnoliales, Magnoliaceae.